UGAUACUAUGGUCAUAAAGUAAACGCUCUAUAUGAUGAAAAAGCUUGACUCUGUAGCUAGCUCGAAAUAUAUACAUACUUUUUAUCAUUGAGAAGAUUGUUAGGAGAUUUGUAUAAACUAACCUAAAAAAUACACUCCGUGUGCAUAUUUUACAAGCAGUACAAGUAAAACAGUGAUUAUUCUCGGCGAAAGUACAAAUGUGAGCCUGAGUCGCAGUGAUCCUGGAAUCUAUACCGCAAGUUUAUAUCGUAAUAUGUGCACGAUGUGGUCUUGGCACAGGUAUAACGGUUGCUAUUUAUGGACUAUGGCCACAGGUCAGACGCUGCCCUUGUAAUUCCAUUAAUUACCGUUACCAUGGAUCAAAAGGAGAUGGACGUUGUGGGCUGACUGCAUUAAG
RNAcentral lists this long non-coding RNA (397 nucleotides) under Hordeum vulgare. Its description in RNAcentral is "long non-coding RNA (HVUL_LNC004013)". The record is from RNAcentral. Lineage: Eukaryota; Viridiplantae; Streptophyta; Magnoliopsida; Poales; Poaceae.